RNAcentral lists this ribosomal RNA (392 nucleotides) under uncultured bacterium. RNAcentral's name for it is "partial 16S ribosomal RNA". It matches the Rfam family "Bacterial small subunit ribosomal RNA", at positions 523 to 918 of the family's 1533-position model. The record is from RNAcentral.
AUACGGAGGAUCCGAGCGUUAUCCGGAUUUAUUGGGUUUAAAGGGUGCGCAGGCGGCCAUUUAAGUCAGCGGUUAAAUCGUGGGGCUCAACCCCAUUCUGCCGUUGAUACUGGGUGGCUUGAUUGCGGUCGAGGUUGGCGGAAUUCGUUGUGUAGCGGUGAAAUGCAUAGAUAUGACGAAGAACACCGAUUGCGUAGGCAGCUGACCAGACCGCAAAUGACGCUCAUGCACGAAAGUGCGGGGAUCGAACAGGAUUAGAUGCCCUGGUAGUCCGCACAGUAAACGAUGAAUACUUGUUUUCGGCGAUAUAAUGUCGGAGGCAAAGCGAAAGCGAUAAGUAUUCCACCUGGGGAGUCCGCCGGCAACGGUGAAACUCAAAGGAAUUGACGGGG